GGAUGCUAUUGGGCUAUCGCUGCUAACGAUGGUUGGAAUAUUUAAUUAUAUUCAGCUUC
This 59-nucleotide transfer RNA is filed under the name Echinostoma revolutum. RNAcentral's name for it is "tRNA-Ser". The record is from RNAcentral. Lineage: Eukaryota; Metazoa; Platyhelminthes; Trematoda; Plagiorchiida; Echinostomatidae.